Molecule: long non-coding RNA, 674 nt
Organism: Daphnia magna
Lineage: Eukaryota; Metazoa; Arthropoda; Branchiopoda; Diplostraca; Daphniidae
Exons: 3
Source: RefSeq, a predicted model, not a curated record
UCCACGGUUGGGAAUGAUUUGCAAUCAUAUGGCGAAAAACGAAGAGCAUAUCCACUGUCGUCAAUGUCUAUAAUGUCCAUAUGAAUCUCUUCACAGGCUCGUUCCAAAACUUGAACCAACUAUAUCAAUCAAAAAGAGACAAAGUUUCCAGGGCAUUCCCCAAUUUCUUUAGCUUUAGGACGAUACUGAAAUACUACAACCGGAACGAUACUAUCCAUUAAGACCUAGAUAAAAAAGAAUUUAAAAAUAUGUAAUAAUUAACCAUGCAGAACACUUCGAAGUGAAAGCUGUUCCUCUUACCUCGGGCUUCGUUUUCUCGUUAUCACAUAGUUCUGCGUCAUCAUCACGAACGUUAGUUACUCCAUCGUCUUCCAUGGGUGAUUCAUUUCUUUCAAGUAAAUCACCUAUUUCUUCCACUAUCUUUCUUACUUCGGAUAUCUCAUCGCCUUUACUAUCGACGACUUCACCUAAUUGGACACUCUCUAAAUCUUCGGUUAAGAUUACAUACAAGCCAAACAUUGCGUCGACGGAACGUACCAUAAUUUGAAUAUUAGGAAUGGUGACAAGGCGAUUGAUAAGCAUCCUGCUAAGUUCAACCGCCGAUCGAAAGCGAUUACUGAUGGUUGUGGAGUCCAAAUUCUAGAAUUUAGAAUACAAUUCUUUGUCAUCACUAA